CCUACGGGUGGCAGCAGUGAGGAAUAUUGGUCAAUGGACGAGAGUCUGAACCAGCCAAGUAGCGUGAAGGAUGACUGCCCUAUGGGUUGUAAACUUCUUUUAUAUGGGAAUAAAAUGUUCCACGUGUGGGAUUUUGUAUGUACCAUAUGAAUAAGGAUCGGCUAACUCCGUGCCAGCAGCCGCGGUAAUACGGAGGAUCCGAGGGUUAUCCGGAUUUAUUGGGUUUAAAGGGAGCGUAGGUGGAUUGUUAAGUCAGUUGUGAAAGUUUGCGGCUCAACCGUAAAAUUGCAGUUGAAACUGGCAGUCUUGAGUACAGUAGAGGUGGGCGGAAUUCGUGGUGUAGCGGUGAAAUGCUUAGAUAUCACGAAGAACUCCGAUUGCGAAGGCAGUUCACUGGACUGCAACUGACACUGAGGCUCGAAAGUGUGGGUAUCAAACAGGAUUAGAUACCCUUGUAGUC
RNAcentral lists this ribosomal RNA (460 nucleotides) under uncultured bacterium. RNAcentral's name for it is "partial 16S ribosomal RNA". It matches the Rfam family "Bacterial small subunit ribosomal RNA", at positions 338 to 795 of the family's 1533-position model. The record is from RNAcentral.